ACACGCUUGCAACAGAGGAUUUCACGAUGAGUAGAUUUUGGUCUUUCUAAAAGGAAAAUGCAUCCAUGGAUGUAUUUGUCUCCUGGCUGUGGUUUCUGAAGUCAUAUUAAAUUACACUGAAAGCGCUCUUCUCAUUGUCACCGCUCUUUGACUAUUUAGUUGGAUAUUUAAAAAGAUGAUAAGUGGGUGAAGGCCGAAUGAAUGGCUAUCCCUGCCUUGGGGGAGAUGUUCUCACGGGGGAGGAAAUGACUGCUGGGCAAAGCAGGGCGGUCAUUUCUAGGCAGCUGGAUGGAUAGAAUUCUCUCUCCUGCUGUUCUACUGUCUCCAAGUGUAGCAUUAGCUUUGCCAAAGGAAUGAUUUUUUUUAAUCUCUUGCAAACAAUUCCAUGGCUUUAUUUUAACCGUGAGCCUCAGGAAACCAGGGCCCCAUACGAUGCUCUCUUGGCAUUGAGUUGUGUCUGAGGGCCUCUAAGGCUGGGUCUGGGGUGGCUUGGCAAAACGGUGACGACAGACAGCAGGGCAGGAGCCCUGAAGGACCAAACCACUAGGGAUUCUUCUUUGAGAAUCUUAAGACUAGAAUUUGCAUGGAUCUAGACCAUCAGUCAAUGUAACUCUUUGUUUGAAAGCCUUGCUACUGUUAGCAAAGGAAACAUUUUAAGUAGUGAUGUACUUCAUUUUCUUUUGUUCUCUUAUUUGAAUAGUUUUGUUUCUCUUUGUUGCAGAUUUUUCCUAUCAUCUGUCUGUCUCUAUCAUCUAUCUAUCUGUCUAUCUAUCUAUCUAUCUAUCUAUCUAUCUAUCUAUCUAUCUAUCAUCUUUCUAUCUCAUCUAUCAUUUUCUCUAUCAGCCUACUUCCUUAAUUAUUUAGAUGCAUCUUAUCAUUUAGUUUUGGAGAUUUCAGUGUGGGGGGUGGGUGGCAUUCCGAGCAUACUGCUGAGAAGUUUGAGUAGGUAGCAAAAGUAGGGUUCAGGAAAGGACAGAACAGGCCUGUCGCUAGUUAGGACACUCAGAUUGUCCACAGGAAGCACACUUGCUGGAAAGGAGUGGUCACUUUUGCUGUCUUUUGUGAUGGACAGGGGACAAAUUAAAAUCAAGAGAAGUGGAUGAGGUCAUUUCCCCCUUGCUUGGCUCAAGAUUUCCCUCCAUUCUCAUUGCUGGGAUGUUUCCCCUUGGCUUAUGGCCUUGUUAAUAUCCCUUAGCUGUCUUAUCAAGUUUUUACACCUCUGUGUGAAUUAGUUUAUUGGCCCCUUUUCUUAGAGUCUGGAGAAUGGUAGGGAGAGGAUAGAAAAUAGAGGAAGAGAAAAGAAAGGCAAGCCACUGGGUGUGCUUCAGGUCUACUUUCUGCUUUAAACCUCCUAGCCUGGUACUGCCUGUGGGCUCUGCCUCGGGGCUGCCAGGAGCAAGGCUGCCUGAAUCCUUCAGCAGUUCUCCAAACAGAACCUUCUCUUCCUUAGUAAGAUAUGACAUCUGUUUUAAAUUAGGUCAGUCUUGCAGAUAACCGCGAGACCCGCACCUUCUUUGGAAUAUGUGUGGAAGCCAUAAUGAAAAUGAGGAGAGUAAAUUAUUUCUUGCAUCUUUUAACACAUACUCAAUAUGAUCUUGGUAAAUUCUUCAUCAGGGUCUCUGUGACACCUAAAACAAGAUGGCAUCCAAGCGUCCCUCCUUGUGUGCCCGUCUGUGGUUCAUCAAUGCCUGCAUUUGUCCAUUGAUCAUCACAUCUCUAGGGGUCUGAGAGAAUUUACAAGUCACACUACUGACACAUUACACUGAAAAAUUCCACUUUGAGGGAAGAUACAGAAAAAGAUCUGCUUUUCAUCCAGUAAGUACCCCAACACUUUGAUUGACGGACGAGGUAUCAACUCAACGAGAAAAUUAUGGUUGAUAGAGAUCAUCUCAGGCCCCUGAGUUCCUGCCCCAGGCAUUUUCUAUUACGAUUAGAUUAUGUUUUAUUGAAAUGAGAAUUUGAGAAAGAUAACAUGAGAGCCGUAUUUAAAUCGUAAAUUUCAAUGGGAAAACAUUUACUGAAAACAAGUUCUCUUCUGCGUCUCAUGUGGAGAAGGAUCGUUAUUUAUGUAAUUUCUUCCAUCCUUACAGGACUGCUGCUGCCCCUCAGGAUUCAUUAAACAAGUAAUACAGCCAGUUGUUGAACCUCUGUACAGAAAGUAGAUUACUAUUUGUCUUCUUUGCAGGGACUGCAAAAAUGUACACAUUUCUCCCUUUUUAGUAUUUUUAUAAACAUUAUCUCUUUUUAAAAGAGAGGCUUUUAAAAUUAUACUAGCUUAUUUUAUUGUUUAGACUUACAACAAGCUAAACUUAUAACUAUUUGUCUCUAUCUCUUUGUUUUUCUAUUCCCACACAUAUUUUUGAGAUAGGGUCUCACUAUGUGGCUCUGGCUGGCCUGGAACUCUCUAUGUAGAGCAGUCUGGCCUCAAACUCACGGAGCUCCACCUGCCUCUGCUUCCUGAGCCCAGGGAUUCUCAGGUAUGCACUCCAAUACUCGGCCCGUAUUUUCUUUCAUAUUUUGUAAAAAUGAACUUUAGCC
Molecule: long non-coding RNA, 2538 nt
Filed under: Mus musculus (house mouse)
Lineage: Eukaryota; Metazoa; Chordata; Mammalia; Rodentia; Muridae
Description: predicted gene, 30339
Source: RNAcentral